This 676-nucleotide ribosomal RNA is filed under the name uncultured bacterium. RNAcentral's name for it is "bacterial SSU rRNA". It matches the Rfam family "Bacterial small subunit ribosomal RNA", at positions 372 to 1037 of the family's 1533-position model. The record is from RNAcentral.
CAGGCGCAGCUGAUCAUUCAUUCCGCGNUGCAGGACGAAGGCCUUCGGGUUGUAAACUGCUUUUGUACGGAACGAAAAAGCCUCGGUUAAUACCCGGGGUCCAUGACGGUACCGUAAGAAUAAGCACCGGCUAACUACGUGCCAGCAGCCGCGGUAAUACGUAGGGUGCGAGCGUUAAUCGGAAUUACUGGGCGUAAAGCGUGCGCAGGCGGUUAUAUAAGACAGAUGUGAAAUCCCCGGGCUCAACCUGGGAACUGCAUUUGUGACUGUAUAGCUAGAGUGCGGCAGAGGGGGAUGGAAUUCCGCGUGUAGCAGUGAAAUGCGUAGAUAUGCGGAGGAACACCGAUGGCGAAGGCAAUCCCCUGGGCCUGCACUGACGCUCAUGCACGAAAGCGUGGGGAGCAAACAGGAUUAGAUACCCUGGUAGUCCACGCCCUAAACGAUGUCAACUGGUUGUUGGGUCUUCACUGACUCAGUAACGAAGCUAACGCGUGAAGUUGACCGCCUGAGGAGUACGGCCGAAAGGUUGAAACUCACAGGAAUUGACGGGGAACCGUACAAGCGGUGGAUGAUGUGGUUUAAUUCGAUGGCAACGCGGAAAACCUUUACCCACCUUUUGACAUGUACGGGAAUUACCCGAAAUGGGUUCGAGCUCGGAACGAAACGGUAACCACAG